This 253-nucleotide ribosomal RNA is filed under the name uncultured bacterium. Its description in RNAcentral is "partial 16S ribosomal RNA". It matches the Rfam family "Bacterial small subunit ribosomal RNA", at positions 524 to 776 of the family's 1533-position model. The record is from RNAcentral.
UACGUAGGGUGCAAGCGUUGUCCGGAAUUAUUGGGCGUAAAGAGCUUGUAGGCGGUUUGUCGCGUCUGCUGUGAAAUUUCGGGGCUCAACCCCGAACUUGCAGUGGGUACGGGCAGACUAGAGUGUGGUAGGGGAGACUGGAAUUCCUGGUGUAGCGGUGAAAUGCGCAGAUAUCAGGAGGAACACCGGUGGCGAAGGCGGGUCUCUGGGCCAUAACUGACGCUGAGGAGCGAAAGCGUGGGGAGCGAACAGG